CGGGGGGUCUUAGCGGUCCGCCUAUGGUGAGUACUGCUAUAGCCUUCCUUACUGUCGGGGACCUGCUUCUGGGCUUCACUGUCCGGGACAGGGAUUCGGCAUGGUUACUUUGAGUAAAUUAGAGUGUUCAAAGCAGGCUUACGCCGUGAAUACUUUAGCAUGGAAUAACAUAAUAGGACUCUGCCCUAUUCUGUUGGCCUGUAGGAGUGGAGUAAUGAUUAAGAGGAACAGUCGGGGGCAUUCGUAUUUCAUUGUCAGAGGUGAAAUUCUUGGAUUUAUGAAAGACGAACUACUGCGAAAGCAUUUGCCAAGGAUGUUUUCAUUAAUCAAGAACGAAAGUUGGGGGCUCGAAGACGAUUAGAUACCGUCGUAGUCUCAACCAUAAACGAUGCCGACUAGGGAUUGGCGGACGUUUUUGCAUGACUCCGUCAGCACCUUGAGAGAAAUCAAAGUUUUUGGGUUCCGGGGGGAGUAUGGUCGCAAG
Molecule: ribosomal RNA, 484 nt
Filed under: Desmodesmus granulatus
Lineage: Eukaryota; Viridiplantae; Chlorophyta; Chlorophyceae; Sphaeropleales; Scenedesmaceae
Description: SSU rRNA
Rfam family: Eukaryotic small subunit ribosomal RNA
Source: RNAcentral